UCCGAAACUACACGGCUAGAGUAUUGGAGAGGUGAGUGGAAUUCCAGGUGUACCGGUGAAAUGCGUAGAUAUCUGGAGGAACACCAACGGCGAAGGCAGCUCACUGGACAAUGACUGACGCUGAGGGACGAAAGCGUGGGGAGCGAAAGGGAUUAGAUACCCCUGUAGUCCACGCCGUAAACUUUGUGCACUCGCUAUUGGCGGAUUCGACCCCGUCAGUGGCCAAGCUAACGCGAUAAGUGCACCGCCUGAGGACUACGGCCGCAAGGCUAAAACUCAAAGGAAUUGACGGGUCCCCGCACAAGCGGUGGAGCAUGUGGCUUAAUUCGAUGCAACGCGAAGAACCUUACCAGGUCUUGACAUGUAGCGGACCGGGGCAGAGAUGCCCCUUCUCUUCGGAGCCGCUUCACAGGUGCUGCAUGGCUGUCGUCGGCUCGUGUCGUGAGAUGUUCGGUUAAGUCCGUCAACGAGCGCAACCCCUGUCCUUAGUUGCCAGCAUUCAGUUGGGGACUCUAAGGAGACAAUCCCGCUUUUGCGGGAGGGAAGGUGGGGAUGAUGUCAAGUCAGUAUGGCCCUUACGGCCUGGGCUGCACACGUGCUACAAUGCCCGGUACAAUAGGUCGCUACUCCGCGAGGAGAUGCUAAUCCAGAAAGCCGGGCCCAGUUCGGAUUGGAGUCUGCAACUCGACUCCAUGAAGUCGGAAUCGCUAGUAAUGGCGCAUCAGCAAUGGCGCCGUGAAUACGUUCCCGGGGAUUGUACACACCGCCCGUCACAUCAUGAAAGCCGGUUUCGCCCGAAGUACGUGCGCCAACCUUCGUGGAGGCAGCGUCCGACGGUGAGGCUGGUGAUUGGGAUGAAGUCGUA
Molecule: ribosomal RNA, 865 nt
Filed under: uncultured organism
Description: bacterial SSU rRNA
Rfam family: Bacterial small subunit ribosomal RNA
Source: RNAcentral